Molecule: transfer RNA, 74 nt
Filed under: Apaloderma vittatum (bar-tailed trogon)
Lineage: Eukaryota; Metazoa; Chordata; Aves; Trogoniformes; Trogonidae
Rfam family: tRNA
About the family: Transfer RNA (tRNA) molecules are approximately 80 nucleotides in length.
Source: Rfam by way of RNAcentral
GGGUGGUUAGCUCAGUCGGUUAGAGCUUGGUGCUAAUAACGCCAAGGUCACGGGUUCUAUCCCCAUACAGGCCA